GAUGAACGCUGGCGGCGUGCUUAACACAUGCAAGUCGAACGAAGCAGUACUGUGUGAAGAGAUUAGCUUGCUAAGCUUGGAACUUUGUAUUGACUGAGUGGCGGACGGGUGAGUAACGCGUGGGCAACCUGCCUUACACAGGGGGAUAACAGCUAGAAAUGGCUGCUAAUACCGCAUAAGACCUCAGUACCGCAUGGUAGAGGGGUAAAAACUCCGGUGGUGUAAGAUGGGCCCGCGUCUGAUUAGGUAGUUGGUAGGGUAACGGCCUACCAAGCCGACGAUCAGUAGCCGACCUGAGAGGGUGACCGGCCACAUUGGGACUGAGACACGGCCCAAACUCCUACGGGAGGCAGCAGUGGGGAAUAUUGCACAAUGGGGGAAACCCUGAUGCAGCGACGCCGCGUGAAGGAUGAAGUAUUUCGGUAUGUAAACUUCUAUCAGCAGGGAAGAAGAUGACGGUACCUGACUAAGAAGCCCCGGCUAACUACGUGCCAGCAGCCGCGGUAAUACGUAGGGGGCAAGCGUUAUCCGGAUUUACUGGGUGUAAAGGGAGCGUAGACGGCAUGGCAAGUCUGAAGUGAAAGCCCGGGGCUCAACCCCGGGACUGCUUUGGAAACUGUCAGGCUAGAGUGUCGGAGAGGCAAGUGGAAUUCCUAGUGUAGCGGUGAAAUGCGUAGAUAUUAGGAGGAACACCAGUGGCGAAGGCGGCUUGCUGGACGAUGACUGA
This 727-nucleotide ribosomal RNA is filed under the name uncultured bacterium. Its description in RNAcentral is "bacterial SSU rRNA". It matches the Rfam family "Bacterial small subunit ribosomal RNA", at positions 28 to 743 of the family's 1533-position model. The record is from RNAcentral.